UUAUAAGCCAUCUUACUAGUU
Molecule: microRNA, 21 nt
Filed under: Arabidopsis thaliana (thale cress)
Lineage: Eukaryota; Viridiplantae; Streptophyta; Magnoliopsida; Brassicales; Brassicaceae
Description: ath-miR844-3p
Gene: ath-miR844-3p
Source: miRBase by way of RNAcentral